This 1126-nucleotide ribosomal RNA is filed under the name Chryseobacterium sp. MYb350. Its description in RNAcentral is "bacterial SSU rRNA". It matches the Rfam family "Bacterial small subunit ribosomal RNA", at positions 173 to 1310 of the family's 1533-position model. The record is from RNAcentral. Lineage: Bacteria; Pseudomonadati; Bacteroidota; Flavobacteriia; Flavobacteriales; Weeksellaceae.
UAUAUUGAAUGGCAUCAUUCGAUAUUGAAAACUCCGGUGGAUAGAGAUGGGCACGCGCAAGAUUAGAUAGUUGGUGAGGUAACGGCUCACCAAGUCUGCGAUCUUUAGGGGGCCUGAGAGGGUGAUCCCCCACACUGGUACUGAGACACGGACCAGACUCCUACGGGAGGCAGCAGUGAGGAAUAUUGGACAAUGGGUGAGAGCCUGAUCCAGCCAUCCCGCGUGAAGGACGACGGCCCUAUGGGUUGUAAACUUCUUUUGUAUAGGGAUAAACCUAGAUACGUGUAUCNNAGCUGAAGGUACUAUACGAAUAAGCACCGGCUAACUCCGUGCCAGCAGCCGCGGUAAUACGGAGGGUGCAAGCGUUAUCCGGAUUUAUUGGGUUUAAAGGGUCCGUAGGCGGAUCUGUAAGUCAGUGGUGAAAUCUCACAGCUUAACUGUGAAACUGCCAUUGAUACUGCAGGUCUUGAGUGUUGUUGAAGUAGCUGGAAUAAGUAGUGUAGCGGUGAAAUGCAUAGAUAUUACUUAGAACACCAAUUGCGAAGGCAGGUUACUAAGCAACAACUGACGCUGAUGGACGAAAGCGUGGGGAGCGAACAGGAUUAGAUACCUGGUAGUCCACGCCGUAAACGAUGCUAACUCGUUUUUUGGGAUUUAGGUUUCAGAGACUAAGCGAAAGUGAUAAGUUAGCCACCUGGGGAGUACGUUCGCAAGAAUGAAACUCAAAGGAAUUGACGGGGGCCCGCACAAGCGGUGGAUUAUGUGGUUUAAUUCGAUGAUACGCGAGGAACCUUACCAAGGCUUAAAUGGGAAAUGACAGGUUUAGAAAUAGACUUUUCUUCGGACAUUUUUCAAGGUGCUGCAUGGUUGUCGUCAGCUCGUGCCGUGAGGUGUUAGGUUAAGUCCUGCAACGAGCGCAACCCCUGUCACUAGUUGCCAUCAUUAAGUUGGGGACUCUAGUGAGACUGCCUACGCAAGUAGAGAGGAAGGUGGGGAUGACGUCAAAUCAUCACGGCCCUUACGCCUUGGGCCACACACGUAAUACAAUGGCCAGUACAGAGGGCAGCUACACAGCGAUGUGAUGCAAAUCUCGAAAGCUGGUCUCAGUUCGGAUUGGAGUCUGCAA